CCUACGGGAGGCAGCAGUGGGGAAUCUUGCGCAAUGGGCGAAAGCCUGACGCAGCAACGCCGCGUGCGGGAAGAAGGCUUUCGGGCUGUAAACCGCUUUCAGCAGGAACGAAAAUGACGGUACCUGCAGAAGAAGGAGCGGCCAACUAUGUGCCAGCAGCCGCGGUGAUACAUAGGCUUCAAGCGUUGUCCGGAUUUAUUGGGCGUAAAGAGUUCGUAGGCGGUCGAGUAAGUCGGGUGUGAAAAUUCUGGGCUCAACCCAGAGACGCCACCCGAUACUGCUUGACUUGAGUUCGAUAGGGGAGUGGGGAAUUCCUAGUGUAGCGGUGAAAUGCGCAGAUAUUAGGAGGAACACCGGUGGCGAAGGCGCCACUCUGGAUCGAUACUGACGCUGAGGAACGAAAGCAUGGGCAGCAAACAGGAUUAGAUACCCUGGUAGUCCAUGCCGUAAACGGUGGGCACUAGGUGUGGGUUUCUAUUAACGAAAUCCGCGCCGCCGCUAACGCAUUAAGUGCCCCGCCUGGGGAGUACGGUCGCGAGACGAAACUACGAAGUAAGUAGUACGCGUUGAGAGUUGCGACGGCGACGACGAGGGAGAGG
Molecule: ribosomal RNA, 599 nt
Filed under: uncultured bacterium
Lineage: Bacteria
Description: bacterial SSU rRNA
Rfam family: Bacterial small subunit ribosomal RNA
Source: RNAcentral